CCUACGGGUGACAGCAGUGAGGAAUAUUGGUCAAUGGACGGAAGUCUGAACCAGCCAUGCCGCGUGCAGGAAGACGGCCCUAUGAGUUGUAAACUGCUUUUGUACAAGGGUAAACCUGAACACGUGUACUUAGUUGAAAGUACUGUAUGAAUAAGGAUCGGCUAACUCCGUGCCAGCAGCCGCGGUAAUACGGAGGAUCCAAGCGUUAUCCGGAUUUAUUGGGUUUAAAGGGUGCGUAGGCGGAUUGAUAAGUUAGUGGUGAAAUUUUCGGGCUUAACUCGAGAACUGCCUCUAAUACUGGUGAUCUAGAGAAUAGAUGCGGUAGGCGGAAUGUAUGGUGUAGCGGUGAAAUGCUUAGAGAUCAUACAGAACACCGAUUGCGAAGGCAGCUUACCAAUCUAUAUCUGACGUUGAGGCACGAAAGCGUGGGGAGCAAACAGGAUUAGAUACCCUGGUAGUC
This 460-nucleotide ribosomal RNA is filed under the name uncultured bacterium. RNAcentral's name for it is "partial 16S ribosomal RNA". It matches the Rfam family "Bacterial small subunit ribosomal RNA", at positions 338 to 795 of the family's 1533-position model. The record is from RNAcentral.